UGGGGAAUAUUGCACAAUGGGCGCAAGCCUGAUGCAGCAACGCCGCGUGAGGGACGACGGCCUUCGGUUGUAAACCUCUUUUAGUAGGGAAGAAGCGAAAGUGAACGGUACCUGCAGAAAAAGCACCGGCUAACUACGUGCCAGCAGCCGCGGUAAUACGUAGGGUGCGAGCGUUGUCCGGAAUUAUUGGGCGUAAAGAGCUCGUAGGCGGUCUGUCGCGUCUGCUGUGAAAACCCGAGGCUCAACCUCGGGCCUGCAGUGGGUACGGGCAGACUAGAGUGCGGUAGGGGAGAAUGGAAUUCCUGGUGUAGCGGUGGAAUGCGCAGAUAUCAGGAGGAACACCGAUGGCGAAGGCAGUUCUCUGGGCCGUAACUGACGCUGAGGAGCGAAAGCGUGGGGAGCGAACAGGAUUAGAUACCCUGGUAGUCCACGCCGUAAAACGUUGGGCGCUAGAUGUGGGGACCAUUCCACGGUUUCCGUGUCGCAGCUAACGCAUUAAGCGCCCCGCCUGGGGAGUACGGCCGCAAGGCUAAAACUC
This 538-nucleotide ribosomal RNA is filed under the name uncultured bacterium. RNAcentral's name for it is "partial 16S ribosomal RNA". It matches the Rfam family "Bacterial small subunit ribosomal RNA", at positions 355 to 902 of the family's 1533-position model. The record is from RNAcentral.